AGAGUUUGAUCCUGGCUUAGGAUGAACGCAGUUACAGGCUUAACACAUGCAAGUCGAGGGGCAGCAGGAAUCUAGCUUGCUAGAUUUGCUGGCGACCGGCGCACGGGUGGGUAACGCGUAUCCAACCUUCCCCUUAGUAGGGCAUAGCCCGUAGAAAUGCGGAUUAAUACCCUAUGUUAUUCGUCGAGGACAUCUGAAGUGAAUCAAAGGUUUACCGCUAAGGGAUGGGGAUGCGUCUGAUUAGGCAGCAGGCGGGGUAACGGCCCACCUGGCCGACGAUCAGUAGGGGUUCUGAGAGGAAGGUCCCCCACAUUGGAACUGAGACACGGUCCAAACUCCUACGGGAGGCAGCAGUGAGGAAUAUUGGUCAAUGGUCGAGAGACUGAACCAGCCAAAGUAGCGUGCAGGACGACGGCCCUAUGGGUUGUAAACUGCUUUUAUGCGGGGAUAAAGUGAGGGACGUGUCCCUUUUUGUAGGUACCGCAUGAAUAAGGACCGGCUAAUUCCGUGCCAGCCGCCGC
This 521-nucleotide ribosomal RNA is filed under the name uncultured bacterium. RNAcentral's name for it is "bacterial SSU rRNA". It matches the Rfam family "Bacterial small subunit ribosomal RNA", at positions 8 to 518 of the family's 1533-position model. The record is from RNAcentral.